This 460-nucleotide ribosomal RNA is filed under the name uncultured bacterium. RNAcentral's name for it is "partial 16S ribosomal RNA". It matches the Rfam family "Bacterial small subunit ribosomal RNA", at positions 338 to 795 of the family's 1533-position model. The record is from RNAcentral.
CCUACGGGUGGCAGCAGUGAGGAAUAUUGGUCAAUGGGCUGACGCCUGAACCAGCCAAGUCGCGUGAGGGAAGACUGCCCUAUGGGUUGUAAACCUCUUUUGUCAGGGAGCAACGCCGGCUACGUGUAGCCGGACUGAGAGUACCUGAAGAAAAAGCAUCGGCUAACUCCGUGCCAGCAGCCGCGGUAAUACGGAGGAUGCGAGCUUUAUCCGGAUUUAUUGGGUUUAAAGGGUGCGUAGGCGGAAUGCCAAGUAAGCGGUAAAAUCGCGGGGCUCAACCUCGCUCCGCCGUUGAAACUGGCGGUCUUGAGUGGGCGAGAAGUAUGCGGAAUGCGUGGUGUAGCGGUGAAAUGCAUAGAUAUCACGCAGAACUCCGAUUGCGAAGGCAGCAUACCGGCGCCCAACUGACGCUGAAGCACGAAAGCGUGGGUAUCGAACAGGAUUAGAUACCCUAGUAGUC